This 404-nucleotide ribosomal RNA is filed under the name uncultured bacterium. RNAcentral describes it as "partial 16S ribosomal RNA". It matches the Rfam family "Bacterial small subunit ribosomal RNA", at positions 338 to 734 of the family's 1533-position model. The record is from RNAcentral.
CCUACGGGAGGCAGCAGUAGGGAAUCUUCCACAAUGGGCGAAAGCCUGAUGGAGCAACGCCGCGUGGGUGAAGAAGGUCUUCGGAUCGUAAAACACUGUUGUUAGAGAAGAAAGCGCGUGAGAGUAACUGUUCACGUUUCGACGGUAUCUAACCAGAAAGCCACGGCUAACUACGUGCCAGCAGCCGCGGUAAUACGUAGGUGGCAAGCGUUAUCCGGAUUUAUUGGGCGUAAAGGGAACGCAGGCGGUCUUUUAAGUCGGAUGUGAAAGCCUUCGGCUUAACCGGAGUAGUGCAUUGGAAACUGGGAGACUUGAGUGCAGAAGAGGAGAGUAGAACUCCAGGUGUAGCGGUGAAAUGCGUAGAGAUAUGGAGGAACACCAGUGGCGAAAGCGGCUCUCUGGUC